UUCUUUCUUCUUCUCAAGUUUGUGACAAGUUUAUAUAUUUUUUACAAUGUACAAGUGUGUCAUAGGCACCCCAGAGGAGAGCCAUUGGGCACCAAAUAGCAAACUUAAAAUUUGGGCAAUAAAAGGGUAGUUUUGUUGUAAAUAGAGUUAAUAUUAGUUUAUUGCUUCUCAUGUCUAAGAUUUCAUUAGUAGUAUCCAAACUCUUUUGAAGUUGGAUAGAUUAAUGCAAGGAUUACUCUCUCUCUCUCUC
This 250-nucleotide long non-coding RNA is filed under the name Spirodela polyrhiza (greater duckweed). RNAcentral describes it as "long non-coding RNA (SPOL_LNC000495)". The record is from RNAcentral. Lineage: Eukaryota; Viridiplantae; Streptophyta; Magnoliopsida; Alismatales; Araceae.